UCAGUAGUCAUAUGCUUGUCUCAGUGCACGCCUUUAUACGGUGAAACCGCGAAUGGCUCAUUAAAUCAGCUAUGGUUUACUGGACCGUACCCGUUAAAUGGAUAACUGUAAUAACUCUAGAGCUAAUACAUGCAACUAUGCCCUGAACCGAAAGGCAAGGGGUGCACUUAUUAGAUCAGAAGCUAACCGGGCGUCGGUCGCAAGGCCGGUGUCUGUUGUCGUUCUGGUGACUCUGGAUAAUUGUUACAGAUCGCAGUCGGCCAUGAGUCGGCGACGGGUCCUCCAAAUGUCUGCCCUAUCAACUUUCGAUGGUAGGUGACCUGCCUACCAUGGUGAUAACGGGUAACGGGGAAUCAGGGUUCGAUUCCGGAGAGGGAGCCUGAGAAACGGCUACCACUUCCAAGGGAGGCAGCAGGCGCGCAAAUUACCCACUCCCAGCACGGGGAGGUGGUGACGAAAAAUACCGAUGCGGGACUCCUAGACGAGGCUCCGUAAUCGGAAUGAGUCGACUAUAAAUCCUUUAACGAGGAUCAAUUGGAGGGCAAGUCUGGUGCCAGCAGCCGCGGUAACUCCAGCUCCAAUAGCUGUAUAUUAAAGUUGCUGCAGUUAAAAAGCUCGUAGUUGGAUCUCGGUUUCAUUGUUGCCUGCUGGCUUUAGAGGCGUUUGCUGGCCUUGCGGUGCAUGGGUGAGCCUGUGUGCUGUGGGGUUGGCGGCUUUGGGUCAGUGUGGCGGCGGUGACACCUUUCAGCCAUGUCUGUGGUGAAAUAUCCGCAGGUGUAGGUGAGUGCCGGACGGUGUCCUGCAAUUGUGGGGUUCGUCGGCUCGUCUGCAUGCCUAUUGAUGCCCUUUAAAAGGUGUCUGUGGGCGGAUGGCACGUUUACUUUGAACAAAUUUGAGUGCUCAAACCAGGCCGAUGCUGCCUGAAAAGUUUUGCAUGGAAUAAUGGAAUAGGACUUCGGUUCUAUUUCGUUGGUUUUCGGAUCCGAAGUAAUGAUCAAAAGAGACAGGCGGGGACGUUUGUACGGCUGCGAUAGAGGUGAAAUUCUGGGACCGUAGCCAGACAAACUAAAGCGAAAGCAUUCGUCAAGCAUGUUUUCAUUGGCCAUGAGCGAAAGUCAGAGGCUCGAAGGCGAUCAGAUACCGUCCUAGUUCUGACCAUAAACGAUGCCAACUGACGAUCCGUGAUGGUAGCAUUUAAACCUUCCUCACGGGCAGUCCCCGGGAAACCAUUAAGUCUAUGGGUUCCGGGGGAAGUAUGGUUGCAAAGCUGAAACUUAAAGGAAUUGACGGAAGGGCACCACCAGGAGUGGAGCCUGCGGCUUAAUUUGACUCAACACGGGAAAACUCACCCGGGCCGGACACUAUGAGGAUUGACAGAUUGAAAGCUCUUUCUUGAUUUGGUGGUUGGUGGUGCAUGGCCGUUCUUAGUUGGUGGAGCGAUUUGUCUGGUUAAUUCCGAUAACGAACGAGACUCCAGCCUGCUAAUUAGUUCUCCUGUCCACUGUACUUGUGCAGGCGGGCGCUUGCCAAAUCUGCUCUUCGCGGUUGACCAUCUGGUGGCGUUGUUGGUUGCCUAAAGUGCCGGCCGCAAUGCUGGUGCUUUUUGUGUACUCGUGAUGCAUGUCCGGUGGGAUGACUUGGGCGGAUAGAGCAGUGUCUGCCUCCGAGUACGGCGCGGGUGUCUACUUCUUAGAGGGACAAGCGGGAGAAGCCGCACGAAAUUGAGCAAUAACAGGUCUGUGAUGCCCUUAGAUGUCCGGGGCCGCACGCGCGCUACAAUGACGGUGGCAACGAGUCUGACUUUCUGGCCCGAAAGGGUUGGGUAAACUGGUCAAUCACCGUCAUGACAGGGAUCGGGGCUUGGAAUUGUUCCCCGUGAACGAGGAAUUCCUAGUAAGUGCAAGUCAUAAGCUUGCGCUGAUUACGUCCCUGCCCUUUGUACACACCGCCCGUCGCUACUACCGAUUGAAUGGUUUAGUAAGGUCCUUGGAUUGGCGCCAUUGAAGCCGCAGGGCUCAGGCGGUGCUGAGAAGACGACCGAACUUGAUCAUUUAGAGGAAGUAAAAGUCGUAACAAGGUUUCCGUAGGUGAAAA
Molecule: ribosomal RNA, 2094 nt
Rfam family: Eukaryotic small subunit ribosomal RNA